Dunckerocampus dactyliophorus (ringed pipefish) is the source of this 2732-nucleotide long non-coding RNA. RefSeq lists it as uncharacterized. The transcript is spliced from 3 exons. NCBI's taxonomy places the organism in Eukaryota, Metazoa, Chordata, Actinopteri, Syngnathiformes, Syngnathidae. The record is from RefSeq and is a predicted model, not a curated record.
CGGGUUUGGCAGCCAUGAUGGUGAGCAGAAUCUAGAAACACUUAUAGACGGCCCAAAGACCAGAUUUGUCAUUUUUCAAGUUCGUAGAGUGGCGCUCAAGACAGCAUUGUUUUCCUGAAGUACCUUAAUUUGGUUGCGCUGCUCAAUAUUUUCCUCCCUCAGCCCAGCCGCAUGUGUGGACAUGUCCUGCCUCCUGGGUGAUUCCAUGUUGGUAAACCACUCAUCUGAUGCUGGUGGUUUUCCCAGGGCCUUUCCGGGGUACUUCAACCCAAACUCUCCCAAAUCAGCAUUUCUUUUCUCCUAAUAACACAUCUCCAUAAUGACAAUAAUGGCAACAUUUUGGACCCUAACUUAAUGUGGACACGUCUAAAGCUGAGUGAUGAUUGGACGCUCAGGCAGGAAGUGACAUUUGUGCACAAGAGAAAAGAUAAGGAAGUUUAUGCCUUGAAAUGGCUGCAUCCAUAUAUGGUCAAUAUGCAUAUGACUCAGAUUUAAUUAGAAGACAAGAUUUUAUUCUGUCAUCGAGCAACAAAGAUGACGGAAGCGCAAGAGGCGUGGUCUCAGAGGUUAUUGUCACACCACUCUUUUAAACCCUGGGAGCAGGACUCCGCCUGCCGGGCGUUCGCGCUACUGACAUCCUUCACCCAGCCAGCGAACGUGGCAGUGUCCCUCCUCAUCUGAAGAAACUGACCCAGCAGCCCAGAUGCCUUAAUGCAACACACACGUCAGUAAAACACACAGAGUUUAGUGUGGGACGUUCAGGUAUCAUGGGAGAAGCGGACCUCAUGGAAGCCUUGCCUGCUCAGUCUGACGCCCAAAACUGGACCGAUACCAGGGACGGCGGUGACGGGCUGGCCGUGCAUCGAGGACUUGACGAAGUCUUUGUGCUUCUGCGUUGUGGACGGCAUUCCUUGUGUUCCCGCCUCUUUACAAACCAUUCGCUAGUAAAAAAAAAUAAAAAAUAAAAAAGUUUAAAGUUUGACGCUUAAUUUACGAAGUUUAGCUCACUGAACUGUACACGAAGUCGUGAUGGAUGGAGUGUAGGCAAGAUAAACUUUAGAAACCAUUCGCCAGUUAAAAAGAAAAAAGGUUGAACAGCUUGACGUUUAAUUUACGAAAUUUAGCUCACUGAACUGUACACGAAGUCAUGAUGGAUUGAGUGUAGACAAGAUAAAUGCGUUUUAAAGCGUCCUAACUUUUUUCACUCACCUGAAAGCGGAGCGAAGAGCAGAGCCCAACCCAAUUUUCAAACCGAAAGUGAUUUACGCUGAAGCCCGGAUGUACAGUCAAUGGCACAUGGGGCGUUCACGUGACAACACGAGAGCAAAGAUAUAAUUGCUACAAUAUUCAGUAAAACUCAUAUAAAUAUAUAGUUAUGGUGAAGUUAUUCUGGUAGUCUGUGUAAGCAAUUUGUUUCUAUCGUAUUAGCAUGUUAAUUUCUGUGUGUCAAUUUCAUUGAACAUGAUGCAGUGACUGCAAAAUGACACAAGGUGGCAGUGCCGUACCGUGUCCAAAUUGUGUAAGGCUGCUAAAAAAAAAAAAAGCUGAGACUUACGACAGGAUGUGAAAGUUAAAACAAGAAAUGUUUAAUUUAUAUUCAAGUUGUAACAGUCUAACACAGGCAAACAUUAACGGAAGAAAAUAAUAAAGCAAGUUAAAAGAUGCUAAAAAAAGGGAUUCUUGACUCGGUGGGCGUCGCAGGAGUGCCAACGCAAGCAACAUUGUGCGCGUGCGGUCACUGUGCGUUGGGAUGAGCUCUGCCGAGGAAAUCGCUGAAACACACACACAAAAGACAUGAAAAGUCAAACAAGAAGUGAGUGAGGUACGGCCCAGGUGGGGGGUUCUACCUGAGGAUGCGAGGCAGCUGGGGGCUCCUGUAGAUGAACUUGUGCUUAUAGGCCAGCGACGAGGAGAACGGAACAAACUGGACCUUGUGACCGCUCAGGCUCUUGGAGCUGGCCGCCAUAUUAUAAAGCUGCGCAACAACCACCUAACAUGUGACCUGCUCUCAUCCAUUCGGCUGUCAGUGACACCCCACCAGACCCUCCUACCUUCUUGCCCAGGUGGAACGGAACCACGGCGUCGUCCUCAGCGUGCAGGAUCAACACGGGACAAGAGAUGUGAUUGACACUGCACACAAACAUACACAGCGGCACUUCCUCUCGCGUCCACUCCCACUGAGCCUACGACAUCCUAGAAGGUCAAAGGUAACUUACUUGUCAUCGCUGGCGAAGCGGAUGUUGUUGGCGCUGAUGGUGUCCAGAAAGAACCAAUCAAAGCCAGGCAGGUGUCUGUACACCUAAAAGAACAACACUGAUGGUUAGGGAUGCACGAUAUUUAUCGGACCGAUAUCAGGGAAUUGUGACGUCAUACCGAUAAAUCUGAUAACAUUAAAAAAAAAGCUCAGAUAACCCAUAUGUAGGAGCCAAAUAUUUGUCUGUAUGUCCUGUGGGUGUGGCUUACUCACGUACAUAAAGCAAAGGGGUAACCGAUAGUCGUGUGCUGACCUGGAAGUGCUUACAAGUUUUGACCGAUGUAAGCAGAACGGUGUGGGAAAAUGUUGUGCUAACCGAGAAACUUGUGUAAUGUUAUGGGACAUUGUGCAUAUGCAUCGUGGUGGUGAAAAAUAAAAGGGUGAUGUUGCAUUGAAAAUAACCCUUGGAUUGAUUUUCUGUAAAUUAGCAGCUACGGCAGCACACCAUACGAUCGGGCUACUAUACCACAAUUAAAAA